UACGUAGGUGACCAGCGUUGUCCGGAUUUACUGGGCGUAAAGAGCGCGCAGGCGGUCGUUCAAGUCGAGUGUGAAAGCCCCCGGCUCAACUGGGGAGGGUCACUCGAUACUGAUCGACUUGAAGGCAGGAGAGGGAAGCGGAAUUCCCGGUGUAGUGGUGAAAUGCGUAGAUAUCGGGAGGAACACCAGUGGCGAAGGCGGCUCACUGGCCCGGUACUGACGCUGAGGCGCGAAAGCGUGGGGAGCAAACAGG
Molecule: ribosomal RNA, 253 nt
Filed under: uncultured bacterium
Lineage: Bacteria
Description: partial 16S ribosomal RNA
Rfam family: Bacterial small subunit ribosomal RNA
Source: RNAcentral